CCCUACGGGGCGCAGCAGUGGGGAAUAUUGCACAAUGGGGGAAACCCUGAUGCAGCGACGCCGCGUGAAGGAUGAAGUAUUUCGGUAUGUAAACUUCUAUCAGCAGGGAAGAAAAUGACGGUACCUGACUAAGAAGCCCCGGCUAACUACGUGCCAGCAGCCGCGGUAAAACGUAGGGUGAAAGCGUUGUCCGGAAUUACUGGGUGUAAAGGGAGCGCAGGCGGAUUGACAAGUUGGGAGUGAAAACUACGGGCUCAACCCGUAACCUGCUUUCAAAACUGUCAGUCUUGAGUGGUGUAGAGGUA
This 305-nucleotide ribosomal RNA is filed under the name uncultured bacterium. RNAcentral describes it as "bacterial SSU rRNA". It matches the Rfam family "Bacterial small subunit ribosomal RNA", at positions 337 to 659 of the family's 1533-position model. The record is from RNAcentral.